AACGAACGCUGGCGGCAUGCCUAACACAUGCCAGUCGAACGAGACCUUCGGGUCUAGUGGCGCACGGGUGCGUAACGCGUGGGAACCUGCCCUUAGGUUCGGAAUAACUCCCCGAAAGGGGUGCUAAUACCGGAUAAUGUCUUCGGACCAAAGAUUUAUCGCCUUUGGAUGGGCCCGCGUUGGAUUAGCUAGUUGGUAGGGUAAAAGCCUACCAAGGCGACGAUCCAUAGCUGGUCUGAGAGGAUGAUCAGCCACACUGGGACUGAGACACGGCCCAGACUCCUACGGGAGGCAGCAGUGGGCAAUAUUGGACAAUGGGCGAAAGCCUGAUCCAGCAAUGCCGCGUGAGUGAUGAAGGCCUUAGGGUUGUAAAGCUCUUUUACCCGGGAUGAUAAUGACAGUACCGGGAGAAUAAGCUCCGGCUAACUCCGUG
This 433-nucleotide ribosomal RNA is filed under the name uncultured bacterium. RNAcentral's name for it is "partial 16S ribosomal RNA". It matches the Rfam family "Bacterial small subunit ribosomal RNA", at positions 29 to 507 of the family's 1533-position model. The record is from RNAcentral.